UUGGGCUUCUUGUCAGGGAACCCAAGUCUCCUCUCUCUUUAAGCUGCGACCGGCUCCACGCAGGACGUGGAGCGCUGUCGCGGACAUACCCCGACAAGUAGUGACCCCAACGUGAUCAAAGUCCGACGUGACAGAAGUGCGAGUCUACACAACGGAGCUGCAACUGCAGAAGGAGGAAAAAUAGAGCGCGCCAGGAGACUCAAGGAUCCCACCAGGACGGUACGGGACAGUGGACCUAUAUUAGACUCCACUGGUGCGGGAAUAACUCAAUAGAGAGGACAUGGGGAAUACUCUCCAGCCAGAGCAGAAGCAACAUAUUCAGUUUCUGCAAUGUGGAGUGCCAUCCUAAGAUCUCUCGACUCCACAUUUUUUGAAAACUUCUGAAGCAGGAACUCCUCUAGAAGAGAAGCAGGAGUGGUCAACAUCUUCCAUGUUCACAGGGUCAACAAAGGAAACUGCUGUUUUCCAGAUGGAGUACACAACCUAUUCUUAAGCCAUUCUCCCACAUGGAGAUUAAGAAACUACUUCAGUAAAUAAAUGGAACUCAUUUAAAGAAUGAGAACAUGAAGCAGGAUUAACUGGUUAGCAAAAAUAAGUCACCUGUUUUUAAACUUUUUA
Molecule: long non-coding RNA, 618 nt
Filed under: Sus scrofa (pig)
Lineage: Eukaryota; Metazoa; Chordata; Mammalia; Artiodactyla; Suidae
Description: lncRNA (ENSSSCG00015058597.1, ENSSSCG00060020086.1)
Source: RNAcentral